Branchiostoma floridae (Florida lancelet) is the source of this 749-nucleotide long non-coding RNA. RefSeq lists it as uncharacterized. The record is from RefSeq and is a predicted model, not a curated record. The transcript is spliced from 3 exons. Lineage: Eukaryota; Metazoa; Chordata; Leptocardii; Amphioxiformes; Branchiostomatidae.
CACUUGCUCAACGCACAGGACAUGCCUACCAAGAAGGGGCUGUUCAGUACAGCAGCUGCCGCAGCUGUGGGCAAGGUGACCGUGAAAGCUGCCCCCAAGGGAGCCGAGAUCUGCGCCUUUUCUUCACCUGAUGAGGCCAGCAUCGACAAAGGCUACAAAGUGUACCUGGGAAACUGUGCGGCUUGUCACGAUGGAGGCGGGAAUUAGCAGGAAGUGACGUCAUCUAACAACAGGAAGUGACGUCACUACACGUAGUUUAGAGAAUGUGACAUGUCGUUAAUAGAUUAUCAUUUACAACUCCCGUCUACAACUCUGAAACUUGUUCUUGCACAAUUGAACAGUUUAUACACUAUGUACCAUUGCUACGUAGUAACAACAUCUCUGUAAUGCACUUAUAUAUCGAUACAAAUCUAAUUGCAGUUUGACAAGAAUUUGAGGUCGACAGUUUCGAAAAUCAUUAUUCCAAUUUGUUUGCAAUAUUGCCAUACAUAAACCCUUUUAAGUUUCUUGAUACAGGUACAAUACCAGAUUUCUGACUCACAACUGUAUUCUAAACAUCAGACAGAGAGGGCAAAAACGACUCAGCAAACAGUAAUUGAAACAAAACAGCGACAUUAACAUGUGAAGACUGCGUGUUCUGGAGCGGCAAAUGUCACCGUAGUUUAGCAUUUAAAAAUGGUACGAAUAACGGUAUGUAAAUGUGUACCAUUUUGUGCUGCAAUAAAAUCUCUUCAGCAUUGUGUUCCAAA